RNAcentral lists this ribosomal RNA (497 nucleotides) under uncultured bacterium. RNAcentral describes it as "partial 16S ribosomal RNA". It matches the Rfam family "Bacterial small subunit ribosomal RNA", at positions 28 to 507 of the family's 1533-position model. The record is from RNAcentral.
GAUGAACGCUGGCGGCGUGCCUAAUACAUGCAAGUCGAGCGAACAGACGAGGAGCUUGCUCCUCUGACGUUAGCGGCGGACGGGUGAGUAACACGUGGAUAACCUACCUAUAAGACUGGGAUAACUUCGGGAAACCGGAGCUAAUACCGUAUAAUAUAUUGAACCGCAUGGUUCAAUAGUGAAAGACGGUUUUGCUGCCACUUAUAGAUGGAUCCGCGCCGCAUUAGCUAGUUGGUAAGGUAACGGCUUACCAAGGCAACGAUGCGUAGCCGACCUGAGAGGGUGAUCGGCCACACUGGAACUGAGACACGGUCCAGACUACUACGGGAGGCAGCAGUAGGGAAUCUUCCGCAAUGGGCGAAAGCUUGACGGAGCAACGCCGCGUGAGUGAUGAAGGUCUUCGGAUCGUAAAACUCUGUUAUUAGGGAAGAACAAAUGUGUAAGUAACUAUGCACGUCUUGACGGUACCUAAUCAGAAAGCCACGGCUAACUACGUG